GAUGAACGCUGGCGGCGUGCCUAAUACAUGCAAGUCGAGCGAACAGACGAGGAGCUUGCUCCUCUGACGUUAGCGGCGGACGGGUGAGUAACACGUGGAUAACCUACCUAUAAGACUGGGAUAACUUCGGGAAACCGGAGCUAAUACCGGAUAAUAUAUUGAACCGCAUGGUUCAAUAGUGAAAGACGGUUUUGCUGUCACUUAUAGAUGGAUCCGCGCCGCAUUAGCUAGUUGGUAAGGUAACGGCUUACCAAGGCAACGAUGCGUAGCCGACCUGAGAGGGUGAUCGGCCACACUGGAACUGAGACAAGGUCCAGACUACUACGGGAGGCAGCAGUAGGGAAUCUUCCGCAAUGGGCGAAAGCUUGACGGAGCAACGCCGCGUGAGUGAUGAAGGUCUUCGGAUCGUAAAACUCUGUUAUUAGGGAAGAACAAAUGUGUAAGUAACUAUGCACGUCUUGACGGUACCUAAUCAGAAAGCCACGGCUAACUACGUG
RNAcentral lists this ribosomal RNA (497 nucleotides) under uncultured bacterium. RNAcentral describes it as "partial 16S ribosomal RNA". It matches the Rfam family "Bacterial small subunit ribosomal RNA", at positions 28 to 507 of the family's 1533-position model. The record is from RNAcentral.